RNAcentral lists this long non-coding RNA (259 nucleotides) under Phoenix dactylifera (date palm). RNAcentral's name for it is "long non-coding RNA (PDAC_LNC007496)". Lineage: Eukaryota; Viridiplantae; Streptophyta; Magnoliopsida; Arecales; Arecaceae. The record is from RNAcentral.
CACAGGAGCUUCACCUGAGGCCACCGGUCCUCCUUCCUAUCCUCCAACAUGGUAUCCCCUACUCCCGUGACUAACAUCCCCAGGCAAGUGCAUCACAGAAUCCAGUGUAGCCGAGGAUGAUCCGCGAGUAUUCAACUGUGCCAUAUGGCAUGGUUUAGCCCCCAUAUCAUCCAGUGACCUAGUUUAGAGCAGCUCCUCCUUGUCGGUGCCAUGGUCGUUGAUGGCCUCAUAAGUAACCUGCCAUACAACCGCCGCCUCA